UACGGAGGGUGCUAGCGUUGUUCGGAAUCACUGGGCGUAAAGGGCGUGUAGGCGGUCUGUUAAGUCUGAUGUGAAAUCCCCUCGCUCAACGAGGGAACUGCGUCGGAUACUGGCAGACUUGAGUACCGGAGAGGGAGGUGGAAUUCCCGGUGUAGCGGUGAAAUGCGUAGACAUCGGGAGGAACACCGGUGGCGAAGGCGGCCUUCUGGACGGAUACUGACGCUGAGGCGCGAAAGCUAGGGGAGCAAACGGG
This 253-nucleotide ribosomal RNA is filed under the name uncultured bacterium. Its description in RNAcentral is "partial 16S ribosomal RNA". It matches the Rfam family "Bacterial small subunit ribosomal RNA", at positions 524 to 776 of the family's 1533-position model. The record is from RNAcentral.